GGCCUCAUACAUGCAAGUCGAGCGGUCCUUCGGGACAGCGGCGAACGGGUUAGUAACGCGUGGGAACGUGCCCUUUAGUACGGAAUAGCCAUUGGAAACGAUGAUUAAUACCGUAUACGCCCCAAGGGGGAAAGAUUUAUCGCUAAAGGAUCGGCCCGCGUUAGAUUAGGUAGUUGGUAGGGUAAUGGCCUACCAAGCCGACGAUCUAUAGCUGGUUUGAGAGGAUGAUCAGCAACACUGGGACUGAGACACGGCCCAGACUUCUACGGAAGGCAGCAGUAGGGAAUCUUGGACAAUGGGCGAAAGCCUGAUCCAGCCAUGCCGCGUGAGUGAUGAAGGCCCUAGGGUUGUAAAGCUCUUUCGCCAGGGAAGAUAAUGACGGUACCUGGUAAAGAAACCC
This 400-nucleotide ribosomal RNA is filed under the name uncultured Alphaproteobacteria bacterium. RNAcentral's name for it is "bacterial SSU rRNA". It matches the Rfam family "Bacterial small subunit ribosomal RNA", at positions 45 to 493 of the family's 1533-position model. Lineage: Bacteria; Pseudomonadati; Pseudomonadota; Alphaproteobacteria. The record is from RNAcentral.